Molecule: ribosomal RNA, 492 nt
Filed under: uncultured bacterium
Lineage: Bacteria
Description: partial 16S ribosomal RNA
Rfam family: Bacterial small subunit ribosomal RNA
Source: RNAcentral
AGUGAACGCUGGCGGUAGGCCUAACACAUGCAAGUCGAACGGCAGCACAGUAAGAGCUUGCUCUUACGGGUGGCGAGUGGCGGGCGGGUGAGGAAUACAUCGGAAUCUACUUUUUCGUGGGGGAUAACGUAGGGAAACUUACGCUAAUACCGCAUACGACCUACGGGUGAAAGCAGGGGAUCUUCGGACCUUGCGCGAUUGAAUGAGCCGAUGUCGGAUUAGCUAGUUGGCGGGGUGAAGGCCCACCAAGGCGACGAUCCGUAGCUGGUCUGAGAGGAUGAUCAGCCACACUGGAACUGAGACACGGUCCAGACUCCUACGGGAGGCAGCAGUGGGGAAUAUUGGACAAUGGGCGCAAGCCUGAUCCAGCCAUACCGCGUGGGUGAAGAAGGCCUUCGGGUUGUAAAGCCCUUUUGUUGGGAAAGAAAAGCAGCAGGUUAAUACCCCGCUGUUCUGACGGUACCCAAAGAAUAAGCACCGGCUAACUUCGUG